UACGACUACAUAUCAGGCAUAUCAAUAAGCGGAGGAAAAGAAACUAACAAGGAUUCCCUUAGUAACGGCGAGGUGAAGCGGGAAGAGCUCAAAUUUGAAAUCUUCAAGGUUCUACCUUGACGAAUUGUAGUUUAAAGAAGUGUUUUCUGUUAGAGGAGUAGCAAAAGUUCCUUGGAAUGGGACAUCAUAGAGGGUGAGAAUCCCGUAUUUGGUUAUUCUUUCUAGCUUUGUGAUACACUUUCAAAGAGUCGGAUUGUUUGGGAAUGCAGUCCAAGAUGGGUGGUAAAGUUUCAUCUAAAGCUAAAUAUUGGCGAGAGACCGAUAGCGAACAAGUACCGUGAGGGAAAGAUGAAAAGAACUUUGAAAAGAGAGUUAAACAGUACGUGAAAUUGUCAAAAGGGAAGCGUUUGACACCAGUGUUGUUUUUCCGAAAAUAAAUUAAGAAGGGCUUGAUUUUGUGUUGUAUUGACCUUAUCAGCUUUCUUCACUCUUUUUCGAGUCUUUCUUAAUGCACUUUUCGGUUAACAAGUCAACAUCAAUUUCUUUUGUUGUAAAAGGGUAUUUGGAAGGUGGCUUUCUUUUCGGAGAAAGUGUUUAUAGCCUUAUACCUCUACAAUCGGAGAGAUUGAGGUCUGCAGCGUAGAUCCUUCGGGGCUAGAUACACUUGUGCUAAGUUAUAGCUUUUCAUAGACAACUUGUUGACUAUGUUUAGUCAUGUAGCUUACCCGCUUGUGCUAUUUUACCUACGCUUAGGAUGUUGAUCUACAGAGCGAGAGU
RNAcentral lists this ribosomal RNA (777 nucleotides) under uncultured Neocallimastigales. Its description in RNAcentral is "partial large subunit ribosomal RNA". It matches the Rfam family "Eukaryotic large subunit ribosomal RNA", at positions 24 to 640 of the family's 3401-position model. Lineage: Eukaryota; Fungi; Neocallimastigomycota; Neocallimastigomycetes; Neocallimastigales. The record is from RNAcentral.